This 663-nucleotide long non-coding RNA is filed under the name Zea mays. RNAcentral's name for it is "drought responsive lncRNA". The record is from RNAcentral. Lineage: Eukaryota; Viridiplantae; Streptophyta; Magnoliopsida; Poales; Poaceae.
GCAGAGUUCAAGGAGAAGGUAAAAGUAACAAGUAUAAGUUUCUCACUGGCUUAAGGUGGCUUCGAGCUUCGUCACCAGCCAUUUUUCGCCCGCCGUUUAUCCAAAUUUGAGUCAUAAACCUGUUUCCUAUACUUCGAGCUAGGCUGGGGAUGUCAAUCAAAUCUGCUGGUGACAAACUAAAGUUUGGCCUAUUAACAAUUUUUCCGUGCGUGCAGCCAGUCUUCAGGAAAGCAGUAGCUGUGCCUCGAGAAGCUAACAGGGCGCAGAAAUCGGCAUGCCCAGCGAUAACUUCGUCAAGCGCAUCAACUUCGCCCUCAAUAUAUUCAAAGGUGUUUGGCAGGUCUUCAACUGAAGGUGUAAACUUCUCAGAGCUGGCUCCAAUUGAGUAAAAGACAUCCUUCAGCCACUACAAGCAUCGAUUGCCGAAGUCUAAACAUUUAUCCUGAAGCUCCUUCAAUGAUUUCUGCAAAUUUGAACUCUUCUCAAUUUCGGUUUUGAGAUUCGUCUCAAGAUUCUUCUUUUCUUGCUUAGAUUUUUUUGAUUUUAUGAGUAAUUCGCUGUUUAAUCUGUCAAUUUUGGCUUGAGCUUCUGCCAGCGAACCUUCCAUAGAGUGGAUGACGAGGUCCUUUUUCUCCAAAGCAACUUCGUGAUCUUUGACUUUAU